This 1442-nucleotide ribosomal RNA is filed under the name Clostridium botulinum A str. ATCC 3502. RNAcentral's name for it is "bacterial SSU rRNA". It matches the Rfam family "Bacterial small subunit ribosomal RNA". Lineage: Bacteria; Bacillati; Bacillota; Clostridia; Eubacteriales; Clostridiaceae. The record is from RNAcentral.
GCUGGCGGCGUGCUUAACACAUGCAAGUCGAGCGAUGAAGCUUCCUUCGGGGAGUGGAUUAGCGGCGGACGGGUGAGUAACACGUGGGUAACCUGCCUCAAAGUGGGGGAUAGCCUUCCGAAAGGAAGAUUAAUACCGCAUAAUAUAAGAGAAUCGCAUGAUUUUCUUAUCAAAGAUUUAUUGCUUUGAGAUGGACCCGCGGCGCAUUAGCUAGUUGGUAAGGUAACGGCUUACCAAGGCAACGAUGCGUAGCCGACCUGAGAGGGUGAUCGGCCACAUUGGAACUGAGACACGGUCCAGACUCCUACGGGAGGCAGCAGUGGGGAAUAUUGCGCAAUGGGGGAAACCCUGACGCAGCAACGCCGCGUGGGUGAUGAAGGUCUUCGGAUUGUAAAGCCCUGUUUUCUAGGACGAUAAUGACGGUACUAGAGGAGGAAGCCACGGCUAACUACGUGCCAGCAGCCGCGGUAAUACGUAGGUGGCGAGCGUUGUCCGGAUUUACUGGGCGUAAAGGGUGCGUAGGCGGAUGUUUAAGUGGGAUGUGAAAUCCCCGGGCUUAACCUGGGGGCUGCAUUCCAAACUGGAUAUCUAGAGUGCAGGAGAGGAAAGCGGAAUUCCUAGUGUAGCGGUGAAAUGCGUAGAGAUUAGGAAGAACACCAGUGGCGAAGGCGGCUUUCUGGACUGUAACUGACGCUGAGGCACGAAAGCGUGGGUAGCAAACAGGAUUAGAUACCCUGGUAGUCCACGCCGUAAACGAUGGAUACUAGGUGUAGGGGGUAUCAACUCCCCCUGUGCCGCAGUUAACACAAUAAGUAUCCCGCCUGGGGAGUACGGUCGCAAGAUUAAAACUCAAAGGAAUUGACGGGGGCCCGCACAAGCAGCGGAGCAUGUGGUUUAAUUCGAAGCAACGCGAAGAACCUUACCUGGACUUGACAUCCCUUGCAUAGCCUAGAGAUAGGUGAAGCCCUUCGGGGCAAGGAGACAGGUGGUGCAUGGUUGUCGUCAGCUCGUGUCGUGAGAUGUUAGGUUAAGUCCUGCAACGAGCGCAACCCUUGUUAUUAGUUGCUACCAUUAAGUUGAGCACUCUAAUGAGACUGCCUGGGUAACCAGGAGGAAGGUGGGGAUGACGUCAAAUCAUCAUGCCCCUUAUGUCCAGGGCUACACACGUGCUACAAUGGUAGGUACAAUAAGACGCAAGACCGUGAGGUGGAGCAAAACUUAUAAAACCUAUCUCAGUUCGGAUUGUAGGCUGCAACUCGCCUACAUGAAGCUGGAGUUGCUAGUAAUCGCGAAUCAGAAUGUCGCGGUGAAUACGUUCCCGGGCCUUGUACACACCGCCCGUCACACCAUGAGAGCUGGUAACACCCGAAGUCCGUGAGGUAACCGUAAGGAGCCAGCGGCCGAAGGUGGGAUUAGUGAUUGGGGUGAAGUCGUAACAAGGU